CCAGACUCCUACGGGAGGCAGCAGUGAGGAAUAUUGGUCAAUGGUCGGAAGACUGAACCAGCCAUGCCGCGUGCAGGAAGAAUGCCUUAUGGGUUGUAAACUGCUUUUAUAUGGGAAGAAUAAGGAGUACGUGUACUUUGAUGACGGUACCAUAUGAAUAAGCAUCGGCUAACUCCGUGCCAGCAGCCGCGGUAAUACGGAGGAUGCGAGCGUUAUUCGGAAUCAUUGGGUUUAAAGGGUCUGUAGGCGGGCUAUUAAGUCAGGGGUGAAAGGUUUCAGCUUAACUGAGAAAUUGCCUUUGAUACUGGUAGUCUUGAAUAUCUGUGAAGUUCUUGGAAUGUGUAGUGUAGCGGUGAAAUGCUUAGAUAUUACACAGAACACCGAUUGCGGAGGCAGGGGACUAACAGACGAUUGACGCUGAGAGACGAAAGCGUGGGGAGCGAACAGGAUUAGAUACCCUGGUAGUCCACGCUGUAAACGAUGGAUACUAGCUGUUUGGAGUAAUUUGAGUGGCUAAGCGAAAGUGAUAAGUAUCCCACCUGGGGAGUACGCACGCAAGUGUGAAACUCAAAGGAAUUGACGGGGGCCCGCAAAG
This 595-nucleotide ribosomal RNA is filed under the name uncultured bacterium. Its description in RNAcentral is "bacterial SSU rRNA". It matches the Rfam family "Bacterial small subunit ribosomal RNA", at positions 331 to 928 of the family's 1533-position model. The record is from RNAcentral.